CUACGGGAUGCAGCAGUGGGGAAUAUUGCACAAUGGGCGCAAGCCUGAUGCAGCCAUGCCGCGUGUAUGAAGAAGGCCUUCGGGUUGUAAAGUACUUUCAGCGGGGAGGAAGGGAGUAAAGUUAAUACCUUUGCUCAUUGACGUUACCCGCAGAAGAAGCACCGGCUAACUCCGUGCCAGCAGCCGCGGUAAUACGGAGGGUGCAAGCGUUAAUCGGAAUUACUGGGCGUAAAGCGCACGCAGGCGGUUUGUUAAGUCAGAGGUGAAAUCCCCGGGCUCAACCUGGGAACUGCAUCUGAUACUGGCAAGCUUGAGUCUCGUAGAGGGGGGUAGAAUUCCAGGUGUAGCGGUGAAAUGCGUAGAGAUCUGGAGGAAUACCGGUGGCGAAGGCGGCCCCCUGGACGAAGACUGACGCUCAGGUGCGAAAGCGUGGGGAGCAAACAGGAUUAGAUACCCCCGUAGUC
RNAcentral lists this ribosomal RNA (464 nucleotides) under uncultured bacterium. RNAcentral describes it as "partial 16S ribosomal RNA". It matches the Rfam family "Bacterial small subunit ribosomal RNA", at positions 339 to 795 of the family's 1533-position model. The record is from RNAcentral.